This is a long non-coding RNA of Scylla paramamosain (green mud crab), 2826 nucleotides long. RefSeq lists it as uncharacterized. The record is from RefSeq and is a predicted model, not a curated record. The transcript has 3 exons. NCBI's taxonomy places the organism in Eukaryota, Metazoa, Arthropoda, Malacostraca, Decapoda, Portunidae.
AUGAGAGGCAUCGUUGUCAGGGCUUAUCGUGCAUGAUCUAAGAGAACUUAAUGUGUAGUUGUUAAUUAACUGCCUUAAAGAGAUUUGUUCUUUAUCAGUCAUCACUGUUACUGAACACUAUUGUAGCUGUUAAGUAAGAUGUUUGUAUGUAGAAACAGUUCCGCAUUCGGGGAGGCAAUAUCGCCACCUUCACAAGCACAGAAGUUCAUCACACCCGCCCGGCACCGCCCUCAUUAAAGUGCUUCGGCCGAGACUUCCUUUUAUCAGAAUCCAAACAAAUCUCUGCCAAGCCCACGUAUGACCGCCACGCCACCUGACACCCGCGCCCGCUGCUGCCCGGUGAUCCACGCCCUCUUACGACCAUGGGGGAUAUACAGACCCAGAGAUUGUGAAGCUUACAGACAAAAUACUGAGGGAGGGGCUGCUCAAGUGUUUGUCUUAACAGCUCAUCUCUGGCCGUGCGUUUGAUGGUCCAUUCGACCUCCCGCGAAGCUCAGCCCCACAAGGCGUCAUUACUUGGCGGGCCGUGAGUCAGCUGCAGUUACGUUUCGUCUGUUGUGAGUCACUGUUCACUUCCUGGUGCUUGGAGGUUACGGCGUAAAAUUUCCCCGGUGUUGGGUUAGGCCAGGGACUUGUGACCAAAGCUUUGUUCCUUGGAGUGUAUGCCUCUGCAGGUGCACGUGUUUAUUAUGAAGGAGGGUGUCUUUAUGUGGGUGCUGUGAGUGCACUGUUGAAUGGGCGGAUGCUUUGCCGGAUUAGAAAAGUGGCGAAGUACAAUGUGCUAUUUGUGUCGCUACGCAGAACCACUGUGGCCAAUACGCAAGUCUUUGAAAAACACGCUGCUGCAUUUUGGAGGUCGUCUAGUUACCGCUUGUCGUGAGGUGCCUUGUUUUGAUUCGUGGAGACAUGGAUGUAUCGAGGAAGUUUAUGAGAAAGACCUAUUGUUUUUCAUAUCUUGUUGUCGACACUUAAUGACCUCAACGGAGUGCGCCAUUAGGGCUGUGGACGCGCAGCACCAUAAGGUACUUAGGGUCCCGGCGUGAGGUGUCGUCGCUUGAGGAGUGGACGCAGGUCGCCCCUCAACACUCGGCGGUUUCCUGCGGUGAGAGAUGUUGAGGAAAUGAUUACGGUGACGGUGAUGACGAUGACGAGAGCGUGCAUGGUGAUGAUGAUGAUGAUGCCGGUGCUCAAGUGGCAUUAGUGGUGAUAAUGAUGGUGUUGGGAGAGCGCGGCGGGAGUGGUGAUGAUUGGAGCAGAACCGCUCUGUCCCUCCUCCUCACCUCCCUGCCCCUCGCGCCCCACCAGGCGGCCACCACUCGCUGCCGCUCCACGAUAGCUGGACUAAUAUUUACCCUCCAAUUUUAUGCCGCACCAACAUAUUCAUUAUUCACGCUACACACACACACACAGGCGAGCCAAUUGCCCUCUGCCAAACAUUGAUGUCGAAGUCCUCUCAGUUUCCAUAUUUUUGGUACCUAGUUAUCGCUUGUCAUCGACGCCUUUGUGUUAAAAAUGCAUCAGCGGCUCGGCACUCGUAACACAGCACGAGAAGACGGGGCACAGGCACUGCACUUAACACUCUUGUGCCACCACCGCUAAGCUUGGCGAGUAGUAUAGAAGAAUAUGAUAUGAGAUAAUAUUGGAAGUUUUGCCGUAAACAUGAAGUGCAAUAAUGUUUGAAGUGGACCCCAGCUGUACUGUACUUUUACUAUAAAAUGUGGUGAUGUUGAAAGUUGUCCUGAGUUGUGUCCUAAAUACUCGUACUUUGUCCUCCCUCCUCUCCUCUCCCUCUCCCUGGCUCCCUCGCGCCUCGUCCCCUCCCUGCUCGUCCACGUCUAUCACCGCUAUUCCAAGGCAGGAGGCUCCACAAAUCAAAGCUGGGAGGGGCUGUUGGGCGCCGUGGCCCGCCGCCCAGCCACACAUAAUACAUGUCAACAAUAUUGGUCGCUCGUAAACUGCUUCUUAAUCAGCGUGCUUCGAGCGAGCUUCGGACAACAACCGCCUAUGUCCAUCCCACGCUCAAGGCCUCGGUGUUGCCGCUCCUGGCGCUGCACUGACGUCGGGGUGACAAGGAGACUGUGGCGAGCGUCUUCACUCAAACUAAAGAAAAAUGCACCAUCCCGCUCACUUCCUCCAGUCCACAGACGCUACACACACUUGACGGACACGCCACCAGCUUCCCUUAUGAACAAGUUAUCUUUUGUAAUAGAAAAAAAGAAACCACAAUUUCCUCAAUCUAAUGGUCGGGACGUGCGUGGGUCAAAUGCCAAAAAUUCCAAGCGCCUCCUUACACCCUCGCCUCCUCCUCCGCCGCCGCCGCCGUCGCCGCCUCGGCCGUGUUAAUGCAAAUGUGACCAGCGAUUAAACUGACCAUUCAGGAGAAAACUCUUUGACGAGGAGAGUCCGGAGCGGCCCGUCCUCUGUCCUGGCGUGUGUGUGGAGUGCGGCGGCGGUGGCGGGGACGGCGCUGUGGGGAUGGGAGUGACAGUGGAAGUACAUUCAUAGUAAAGAAGUAUGUGUGAUGAUCUUUAUAUAGCCUUGAUGGUGACUGCGUGGACCUUAUGACGGCGGCGAUGGUGAGGAUGACCCGUUGUAAUGUAGUGAGGAAGGGGAGAACUGCGUGGUGGUGAUUUGGUGGUGAUGGUGAUAUUAUUGGUCGUGCUGGUGGAAGUGUUGGUGGUGAUGGCAGUGUGGCGGUAUUGCUGUGCUACACAACCUCGCCCUUUCAGUGUUAUGACUUUCCAUUGUUAACAUUCAGAACACCGUAAAAAUUGUUUGAAUGGAUGUUCAGAGAGAGAGAGAGAGAGAGAGAGAGAGAGAGAGAGA